RNAcentral lists this ribosomal RNA (433 nucleotides) under uncultured bacterium. RNAcentral's name for it is "partial 16S ribosomal RNA". It matches the Rfam family "Bacterial small subunit ribosomal RNA", at positions 29 to 507 of the family's 1533-position model. The record is from RNAcentral.
AACGAACGCUGGCGGCAUGCCCAACACAUGCAAGUCGAACGAGACCUUCGGGUCUAGUGGCGCACGGGUGCGUAACGCGUGGGAAUCUGCCCUUGGGUUCGGAAUAACAGUUGGAAACGACUGCUAAUACCGGAUGAUGACGUAAGUCCAAAGAUUUAUCGCCCAGGGAUGAGCCCGCGUAGGAUUAGCUAGUUGGUGGGGUAAAGGCCUACCAAGGCGACGAUCCUUAGCUGGUCUGAGAGGAUGAUCAGCCACACUGGGACUGAGACACGGCCCAGACUCCUACGGGAGGCAGCAGUGGGGAAUAUUGGACAAUGGGCGAAAGCCUGAUCCAGCAAUGCCGCGUGAGUGAUGAAGGCCUUAGGGUUGUAAAGCUCUUUUACCCGGGAUGAUAAUGACAGUACCGGGAGAAUAAGCCCCGGCUAACUCCGUG